AGCUUUGUGCAGUGGCAGUAUCAUAGCCAUUGUAGGUUUAUUCAAGGAAUGAUUAUUGCUAAUUGAAAACUUUUCCCAAUACUCCCCAUAACAACUAGAAAUACAGUCAGCAUUGGCAAUUAAGAAAGAGAGAGAGAAAAAGAACUAU
This is a small nuclear RNA of Perognathus longimembris pacificus (Pacific pocket mouse), 148 nucleotides long. RefSeq annotates it as U4 spliceosomal RNA. NCBI's taxonomy places the organism in Eukaryota, Metazoa, Chordata, Mammalia, Rodentia, Heteromyidae. The record is from RefSeq and is a predicted model, not a curated record. The transcript has a single exon.